RNAcentral lists this ribosomal RNA (447 nucleotides) under uncultured bacterium. Its description in RNAcentral is "partial 16S ribosomal RNA". It matches the Rfam family "Bacterial small subunit ribosomal RNA", at positions 29 to 523 of the family's 1533-position model. The record is from RNAcentral.
AGCGAACGCUGGCGGCAGGCUUAACACAUGCAAGUCGAACGCCCCGCAAGGGGAGUGGCAGACGGGUGAGUGACACGUGGGAACGUACCCUUUGGUUAGGAAUAACUUGGGGAAACUCAAGCUAAUACCGGAUAAGCCCUUAUGGGGAAAGGUUUACUGCCGAAGGAUCGGCCCGCGUCUGAUUAGCUAGUUGGUGAGGUAAUGGCUCACCAAGGCGACGAUCAGUAGCUGGUCUGAGAGGAUGAUCAGCCACACUGGGACUGAGACACGGCCCAGACUCCUACGGGAGGCAGCAGUGGGGAAUAUUGGACAAUGGGGGCAACCCUGAUCCAGCCAUGCCGCGUGAGUGAUGAAGGCCUUAGGGUUGUAAAGCUCUUUUACCCGGGACGAUAAUGACUGUACCGGGAGAAUAAGCCCCGGCUAACUUCGUGCCAGCCGCCGCAGUAA